ACUUCCGGUUGUCCUGGCAGCUGUCGCUACCGCUGUUGCUGCUCCUGCUCCUGCCACCUGCCAGGCCGGGCCUCAGUUCAGGGUUUGGUCACGUCUUCGUUCUCCACUGCGCCCAUGGUUCCUCCUGGAGCCAGGGCGGCGGGCCCGGCGGCUCCCGCGUGGUGAGAGGGCAGUCCGGGGACGAUGAAGGUCCCGCACUGCAGUUGCUGUCUCAGCCACCUCUUGGCUUCCGCCCUCCUGCUGCUGCUAUUGCUGCCAGGUUUGGGAGGGCCUUUGACUUUGCUGUUGCAGGCGGCCGAGGCCGCACCGGACCCUGGGCCUCCGGACCGUGGGCCGCGGACCCUGCCGCCCCUGCCUCCCGGCCCCACUGCCGCCCAGUUGCCGGGCGGCGCCCCCGCACAAGCCGCAGGGCCGCGGGGCGCUGAGGGCGGCAAUGGCAGUAGCCCCCGGGCGGGGCUCUCAGCAGAAGACUCCGGAGGGAAGGCGGGGGAAGAAGACUCAGUGGGUGGGAGCCUUGCUGUGAGCCCCAACCCCGGCGACAAGCCUAUGACCCAGCGGGCCCUGACCGUGUUGAUGGUGGUGAGCGGCGCGGUGCUGGUGUACUUCGUCGUCAGGACAGUCAGGAUGAGAAGAAGAAACCGAAAGACUAGGAGAUAUGGAGUUUUGGACACUAACAUAGAAAACAUGGAGUUGACACCUUUAGAACAAGAUGAUGAGGAUGAUGAUAACACUUUGUUUGAUGCCAAUCAUCCUCGAAGAAAUGAAUGAUGGAGCAGCUAUUUAUAUAGCAACUGUUGAAUGUCUGGCAUUGAUCUGGCCACUUGGGAUACACUACAGCCACAAAACAGAAAAGAAAAAGAAAAACAUCCUGACUUUGUGAAGCUUAACUUCUAGUUGUGAAAAGAUUUUAUCCACAGAAUAACAGGAAGCAAGUUAUUUCCAGAGAGGCAAAUGAAUUUCCUUGCUUAUAAUUUUAUCACAGCAUAAAACCAUCCUUUUGUAGUCAGCUCUUUCUGAGAGGAAUGUUUUUAUUGUUGUUUUUAAUACAUCAGAAUUUUAAUGAUUGUUGUUGGUAGUUAGGAUUUGGGGUAAUUAUUUUCACUGUUUCUUUGUAUUAGAGGGAACCAUAUGAACCUGCCAAUAUAUGGUUUUAUCUAAAUUUCAAGGAAAUGUAUUAUUUCAUGUAAUAGUAUGCCACAGAUAGGACCGACUCCAAACAGUGCGUCAAGGCUCUGUCUCCUUUUCUUUGGGAUUCCCUUGGUUCUGCACACCAUGUGUUGUCUUCUAUUUUAGGCUGAUAAUAGGAUGAUGCCAGCAGUUCCUAUAAUCAUACCUAGAAUGGUAACUUUCAGUGGAAGAUAGGGACUUGCUCUCUUGUGUACCUUCCUUAGGAAUGAGAAAAAUUUCCCCAGAAACUUUAAACAGAGCUGGGCUUUUUUGUUUGUUUGUUUUUGCUUUCCAUAUCAUUGGUCAUGUGGCCAUUUCUAAAUUAAACCCUGGGAAGAAAAAUGGAAGUACCAUGAUUAGCUCAGAAUUAUCAUUUGUGUUUGAAUAAAUACUGAGAAGUUAACCACCAUUACCACUAUAUCUAGUAUUUUAAGCACUGAGGUUAAUGCAAUCAAAUUGGGAAAAUGUACAAAUGUGAAAAAAAAUAACUUGAGCAAUUUGGUUAAUAAAAUUUCUCUUAAAUUUGCUAUUGACAUCCUAAUUUUGUAUUUUAGGGGUAAUUUCUUAUGUUUGGUUACUGAAACAUUUUGCACAAAGAUUUUAUAAAACAAAAAGACAAACGUCAACUCUAACUUUUUUUGGGUGUUUCAGCCCUCUUCGAUAGAAAAACUGAUGAGGAAUUAGAUAGCAUAUACUGACUAAAAACUACCUUAAUUUUCUCAAAGAAAAAUAUUGGAAACAAAUACUCAUAACCAGUCCCUAAAACAGUUUAAAACAGUGCUUUAUGACACAAAACCACAAAUGGGAACAAUACUCUUGCUAUUCUGUUUGAUUUCUACUGAACCGUAAAAUUAUUAGUAUUUUAUGAUGAUGUACACUUUAAGACAUUUUAACAGUCUUGCUAGCAGCUUCUAAAAGCUGACACUUACAGCAUCACUUCAAGGCUAUUGUAGUAAUUUUUGUCAAGAAUGUAAUUUUUAAAACCUAAACUUGCUUUUUAGCUACUUUUGUUCUGCUUCAUUAAAUUUAAUAUUGUAUGUCUUCAUUACAUUUGUGCUCAAUGUUACUUGACCACAGAAUAUUUUCUGGUUAUUAACAUCAGCAUAUCAGAAUUAGAAAGCAGAUUUGAUAUAAAUAUUUAACCAGAAACACUCAUUAAAAAGAUCUUAUUCAAACAGUUUCCAAUUUGAAAAUAGUUCUAAUUUCUAAAACACUACUUUCAAUGUGAAACUUAACAAUAUUAUCAGAAUAAACACUAAGGUUAUUCAAAAUAAAUAGAAUGUAGGAAUGUGUCAAUUACUAAUGUUUAUGUUAGAUAAAAAUUGGUAUUUUAGGAUGUGUAGUGGUGUGUUACUAGUAGGAUCAUCUGUACUUUUUUGCUUGAAGUGUAUUAUCCUGUAUUUGUCAUUACUGGAAUGAUAGAAGUAAUAAGUAAUAAAAGGUAGUGAAGAACCUUCAUGUUGUUCUUUUUUUGGUAUGUUUUACUUUUCUGUGGCCUUAGAAGAAAAUUUGCCUUCCUCCAUUAAUAAUUAGACAUCACACACAAUAUGCUUAUUAGUUAAGAACAUGAAUCAUGGGGUGCCUGGGUGGCUCAGUCAUUAAGCGUCUGCCUUCAGCUCAGGUCAUGAUCCCAGGGUCCUGGGAUCG
RNA transcript from Zalophus californianus (California sea lion), 2814 nucleotides. It is a transcript of the gene named family with sequence similarity 174 member A, with no coding region annotated. Lineage: Eukaryota; Metazoa; Chordata; Mammalia; Carnivora; Otariidae. The transcript has 4 exons. The record is from RefSeq and is a predicted model, not a curated record.